CGAGCGCAACCCUUGUGACUAGUUGCCAGCGCGUAAUGGCGGGAACUCUAGUCAGACUGCCCAGAUCAACUGGGAGGAAGGUGGGGACGACGUCAGGUCAGUAUGGCCCUUACGCCUUGGGCUGCACACGUACUACAAUGCCCAGCACAAUGAGAACCGAUACCGCGAGGUGGAGGAAAUCUAUAAAACUGGGCCCAGUUCGGAUUGGAGGCUGCAACUCGCCUCCAUGAAGUUGGAAUCGCUAGUAAUGGCGCAUCAUCUACGGCGCCGUGAAUACGUUCCCGGGUCUUGUACAC
This 296-nucleotide ribosomal RNA is filed under the name uncultured verrucomicrobium DEV287. Its description in RNAcentral is "partial 16S ribosomal RNA". It matches the Rfam family "Bacterial small subunit ribosomal RNA", at positions 1093 to 1388 of the family's 1533-position model. The record is from RNAcentral. Lineage: Bacteria; Pseudomonadati; Verrucomicrobiota.